ACUCCUGGUUGAUGGGCCACCUUCCUCCACAUGGUGACUCAGGGAUCCAACCUGCAUCCAGCCUGUGGUAUCACUCUCCCCAGGGCCUCGGAGAGCCCACUCCUGGCUGGCAGUUGGAGGAUGACUGUGUAGAGACGAGACGGUGAUAUGGUUAGGCUUUGUGUCCCCACCCAAAUCUCAUCUUGAACUGUAAUCUCCAUAAUCGUCACAUGUCGAGGGAGAGACCAGGGAGGUGAUUGGAUCAUGGGGACCGUUUCCCCCAUGCUGUUCUCGUCACGGUGAGUGAGUUCUUUGAGAUCUGAUGGUUCUAUAGGGGGCUCUUCUCCCUUCGCUCAGUGCUUCUCCUUCCUGCUGCC
Molecule: long non-coding RNA, 356 nt
Filed under: Homo sapiens (human)
Lineage: Eukaryota; Metazoa; Chordata; Mammalia; Primates; Hominidae
Description: HSALNT0318028
Source: RNAcentral